This is a non-coding RNA of Salmo salar (Atlantic salmon), 68 nucleotides long. The record is from Rfam. NCBI's taxonomy places the organism in Eukaryota, Metazoa, Chordata, Actinopteri, Salmoniformes, Salmonidae.
GUUUGUAGCUCAGUUGGUAGAUUAUGGCGCUUUCAAUGCCAGGAUAGUGGGUUUGAUUCCCACAAACA